RNAcentral lists this ribosomal RNA (253 nucleotides) under uncultured microorganism. RNAcentral describes it as "partial 16S ribosomal RNA". It matches the Rfam family "Bacterial small subunit ribosomal RNA", at positions 524 to 776 of the family's 1533-position model. The record is from RNAcentral.
UACGGAGGGUGCAAGCGUUAAUCGGAAUUACUGGGCGUAAAGCGUACGUAGGCGGCUUGUUAAGCAAGAUGUGAAAUCCCCGGGCUCAACCUGGGAAUGGCAUUUUGAACUGGCAAACUAGAGUCUUGUAGAGGGGGGUAGAAUUCCAGGUGUAGCGGUGAAAUGCGUAGAGAUCUGGAGGAAUACCGGUGGCGAAGGCGGCCCCCUGGACAAAGACUGACGCUCAGGCACGAAAGCGUGGGGAGCAAACAGG